CUCGAGAUGAGCUCACCCUCUGGGUAACCAGGUAAGACCGCACGUAGAUAACGUGUUUGAUAGGCGGCGGGUGGAAGGAUCGUAAGAUCUGGAGCUGAGCCGUACUAACGGUCGAGGGCUUGACCUAA
RNAcentral lists this ribosomal RNA (128 nucleotides) under Chloroflexota bacterium. Its description in RNAcentral is "Chloroflexi bacterium partial 23S ribosomal RNA". It matches the Rfam family "Bacterial large subunit ribosomal RNA", at positions 2798 to 2925 of the family's 2925-position model. The record is from RNAcentral. Lineage: Bacteria; Bacillati; Chloroflexota.